AAAAAUACUCAACGAUGGAUAUCUUGGUUCCCAUAUCGAUGAAGAACGCAGCGAAAUGCGAUAUGUAAUGCGAAUUGCAAAAUCCCACGAGUCAUCAAAUCUUUGAACGCAACUGGCGCUGGCUACAGCCAGCAUGCUUGCGUCAGUGU
RNAcentral lists this ribosomal RNA (149 nucleotides) under Pleuronema sp. WS-2012. Its description in RNAcentral is "5.8S ribosomal RNA". It matches the Rfam family "5.8S ribosomal RNA". Rfam says of the family: 5.8S ribosomal RNA (5.8S rRNA) is a component of the large subunit of the eukaryotic ribosome. Lineage: Eukaryota; Ciliophora; Oligohymenophorea; Pleuronematida; Pleuronematidae. The record is from RNAcentral.